AGAACGAACGCUGGCGGCAUGCCUAAUACAUGCAAGUCGAACGAACACUUCGGUGUUAGUGGCGCACGGGUGCGUAACGCGUGGGAAUCUGCCCUUGGGUUCGGAAUAACAGUUGGAAACGACUGCUAAUACCGGAUGAUAUCGAAAGAUCAAAGAUUUAUCGCCCAGGGAUGAGCCCGCGUAGGAUUAGCUAGUUGGUGAGGUAAAGGCUCACCAAGGCGACGAUCCUUAGCUGGUCUGAGAGGAUGAUCAGCCACACUGGGACUGAGACACUGCCCAGACUCCUACGGGAGGCAGCAGUAGGGAAUAUUGGACAAUGGGCGAAAGCCUGAUCCAGCAAUGCCGCGUGAGUGAUGAAGGCCUUAGGGUUGUAAAGCUACUUUUACCCGAGUAUGAUAAUGAACAGUAUCGGAGAAUAAGCCCCGGACUAACUCCGUGCCAGCAGCCGAC
This 450-nucleotide ribosomal RNA is filed under the name uncultured soil bacterium. RNAcentral's name for it is "bacterial SSU rRNA". It matches the Rfam family "Bacterial small subunit ribosomal RNA", at positions 26 to 518 of the family's 1533-position model. The record is from RNAcentral.